Molecule: ribosomal RNA, 253 nt
Filed under: uncultured bacterium
Lineage: Bacteria
Description: partial 16S ribosomal RNA
Rfam family: Bacterial small subunit ribosomal RNA
Source: RNAcentral
UACGUAGGGUGCGAGCGUUGUCCGGAUUUAUUGGGCGUAAAGAGCUUGUAGGUGGCUCGUUGCGUCGGGAGUGAAAACCCGCGGCUCAACCGCGGGCCUGCUUCCGAUACGGGCGAGCUAGAGUUCGGCAGGGGAGACUGGAAUUCCUGGUGUAGCGGUGAAAUGCGCAGAUAUCAGGAAGAACACCCGUGGCGAAGGCGGCUCUCUGGGACGGUACUGACGCUGAGACGCGAAAGCGUGGGGAGCGAACAGG